Molecule: ribosomal RNA, 247 nt
Filed under: uncultured bacterium
Lineage: Bacteria
Description: partial 16S ribosomal RNA
Rfam family: Bacterial small subunit ribosomal RNA
Source: RNAcentral
GAUCCUGGCUCAGGAUGAACGCUGGCGGCGCGCCUAACACAUGCAAGUCGAACGAUUAAAGCACCUUCGGUGUGUAUAAGUGGCGAACGGCUGAGUAACACGUGGGCAACCUGCCCCUCUCAUUGGGAUAGCCACGGGAAACCGUGGAUAAUACCGAAUACUUCGAGACUUCCGCAUGGAAGACUCGAGAAAGCUCCGGCGGAGAGGGAUGGGCCCGCGGCCUGUUAGCUUGUUGGUGGGUAACGCU